AACGAGGGAGGUGGUGCUUGCACCGAUCAAUCGAGUGGCGGACGGGUGAGGUAACGCGUGGGUAACCUGCCUCAUACAGGGGGAUAACAACUGGAAACGGUUGAUAAUACCGCAUAAGCGCACGGUAUCGCAUGAUACAGUGUGAAAAACUCCGGUGGUAUGAGAUGGACCCGCGUCUGAUUAGCUAGUUGGCGGGGUAACGGCCCACCAAGGCGACGAUCAGUAGCCGGCCUGAGAGGGUGAACGGCCACAUUGGGACUGAGACACGGCCCAAACUCCUACGGGAGGCAGCAGUGGGGAAUAUUGCACAAUGGGGGAAACCCUGAUGCCAGCGACGCCGCGUGAGCGAAGAAGUAUUUCGGUAUGUAAAGCUCUAUCAGCAGGGAAGAAAAUGACGGUACCUGACUAAGAAGCCCCGGCUAACUACGUGCCAGCAGCCGC
This 441-nucleotide ribosomal RNA is filed under the name uncultured bacterium. RNAcentral describes it as "bacterial SSU rRNA". It matches the Rfam family "Bacterial small subunit ribosomal RNA", at positions 65 to 518 of the family's 1533-position model. The record is from RNAcentral.